Molecule: long non-coding RNA, 988 nt
Filed under: Heterocephalus glaber (naked mole-rat)
Lineage: Eukaryota; Metazoa; Chordata; Mammalia; Rodentia; Bathyergidae
Description: lncRNA (ENSHGLG00000036937.1)
Source: RNAcentral
GACAAGGCGCCCAUCCGAGCCGUCCGGUCCCUUUGUCCUACACCCCACCCUGGAGGUAUGAGGAUCCGCGCAAUGCGGUUCGGAGGCGGCCGCGGCGCCCCAGAGGUGAAAGCGGAGGCGCCAGGACGCCGGUGCCGGCCUCUCAGGAUGCUAGGCGGCCACACACGAGAUGAGGAAACUGAGGCCCAGAGAGAUCACACAGCUACUAAGUCAAGGAGCUGGGACAGGCGUGGGUGCUGAAAAGUGAUUGAUACUGAUAGUAAAAUUGAGGAAGACAUGAUGUUUUUGUAAUUUGAGAAAAAUCACUGAAGAAUAAACUAUAUGAAGUCAUUGAUGCCAAAUUCCCAGCCCCAGCCUUUGCAGCUGCCCCGCCUGGGGUUCGUCUCUAUGGGAAGGAGUCUUUGCCGUGGACAGAGGCCGUGAUGACGAAGGUCAGGCUUAGAGAUCCAGGAAGUUGAGACAUGGAAAGCAGGAGUGGAGCAAGGAGGGUGGCAAAAAUCAUGACAUUUCACACACUCCGCCCCAGUGGAACCCAUCUUCCUCUGCUGUCUAACUGAAGAACUAGCAAUGCCUUCCAAAGCUAAAGGAAACUCCAGCUCCAUGCAACAGAGAUAAAAGAAGCUGAAGGGAGUAGACAAAUAAAAAGCUUUUCCUGAAACAUCAGCCACGUUAACCACAUCCUGCUCUGACAGUAGCCAGCCUGAGAAUGUUUUGGGAAGGGUAGUGUGAACCACGAGGUGAAUUUAAAUCUGUGCAAGGCAGGAACAUAUGGAGCAUCUGAAUCAGUUUACAAACAUUAACUGAGUGCCUAAUAUGUACCAGGCACUUGGUCUACAGUGAUGAUAAAAGUAGACACAACCUUAGCAUGAUUCCUUAACAUGGUUCUUCAAUUCUUUAACAUGCUCACUUCUGGCAGGGGGCAUGUGUGCAUUCACUAGAGGUGAGAGAGUCUAGUCUGGUAGUUUGUUUAGUACUCACUAAUUCUAUA